This is a non-coding RNA of Peromyscus maniculatus bairdii (prairie deer mouse), 887 nucleotides long. The record is from RefSeq and is a predicted model, not a curated record. NCBI's taxonomy places the organism in Eukaryota, Metazoa, Chordata, Mammalia, Rodentia, Cricetidae.
CGGUGGCGUCGGGCACCUGCCGUGGCGGGGCACGGCCGCGGGGUGGCGCUGCGGGUGGAGGCCUUGGGCCAGCAAGGCCCCUUGUGUAGGGCUGGGCGAUUCCAGGUUCGCUGGGAUGCAGCUGGUAGUGCUAGGCAUGGCACUGUCUGCCACCAUGCCCCACAAACAUUAAGGUUCCUGUCGCUGCAUUUAUAACUGCGCAAAAAUGCCACCAGCAUGAAGAAGAGAAAUUCUUCCUCAUUGCCAAAGGCCAGAAGGAAACUUUACCCAGCAUCUGGGACUCACCCACCAAACAGCUGUGUGCUGUCAUGACUUGAACUGUAUAACUUCUGCUUCCUAAUGGGUCCUUAGGGAAGAAAAGGAACCAUGCAGUGUUCACACUCACUGAGAGGAGUGUGUGGUUGGCAGCUGGGGUUGGGAAGAGGGAAAGUGAGAUGGCAGGAUUGAGGUUUUGUAGAGAAGUCCUAGGAUGAGAACAAGAGACGUUCUGGGUGAGAAUGGCCGGAGUGAUGUCCCAGAGGGUCUUGGUAGGUGACAGGCACACCUUCCCUGUGUGAAUGGAGUAUGCUGGGCUAGCUAACUCAUUUUCAAAAGCAAUCUCUAAAAUAUUUUUCCCUUUAGUGCCUGUGAUGAUGGAUGAAGCCCUGAACUACCUAGAAAAGAGACAGGUAUCACACUUCUCUUUCAAUGUCACACCUCCAGUUAAAACUAAAGCAGGUCACCAAUUGUAGACCCUGAGCUAGGAGCACUGUGGGAGGCAGGCCCAGCAUGCAGCAUGCUCCCUCCAGAGGCAGACAAACCAGGAAGCUGGCAUUCUCUGAUGUACCCUCCCCCACCUCCUAAUUCUCUCUUGCCUGAUGAUAUAUUAUAGAUUGUGUGCCAGUGAA